AUUGAACGCUGGCGGCAGGCCUAACACAUGCAAGUCGAGCGGAUAAAGGGAGCUUGUUCCUGGUUUCAGCGGCGGACGGGUGAGUAAUGCCUAGGAAUCUGCCUCGUAGUGGUGGAUAACGACCGCAAACGGGCGCUGAUACUGCAUACGUCCUGCGGGAGAAAGUGGGGGAUCUUCGGACCCUACGCUCUCAGAUGAGCCUAGGUCGGAUUAGCUAGUUGGUGGGGUAAAGGCCUACCAAGCCGACGAUCCGUAACUGGUCUGAGAGGAUGAUCAGUCACACUGGAACUGAGACACGGUCCAGACUCCUACGGGAGGCAGCAGUGGGGAAUAUUGGACAAUGGGCGAAAGCCUGAUGCAGCCAUGCCGCGUGUGUGAAGAAGGCCUUCGGAUUGUAAAGCACUUUAAGGUGGGAGGAAGGGCAGUAAGUUAAUACCUUGCUGUAUUGACGUUACCAGCAGAAGAAGCACCGGCUAACUUCGUG
RNAcentral lists this ribosomal RNA (484 nucleotides) under uncultured bacterium. Its description in RNAcentral is "partial 16S ribosomal RNA". It matches the Rfam family "Bacterial small subunit ribosomal RNA", at positions 30 to 507 of the family's 1533-position model. The record is from RNAcentral.